Pseudopodoces humilis (Tibetan ground-tit) is the source of this 1742-nucleotide non-coding RNA. Lineage: Eukaryota; Metazoa; Chordata; Aves; Passeriformes; Paridae. The record is from RefSeq and is a predicted model, not a curated record.
UCUCAAGGAAAGAAGAUAGAAGAUGAGUUUAUUAACAUGGGCAAGGGGUACCUAGAGCCUUGUUCUGAGGAAUGGAGAAACCAUAUGGGAGAAGUUUUCCCCAGACACAUUUUGGCUUGGGCAUAUUGCUCCAGCCUGCCUAUGUCCAGUGGAAGAGAAAAGCCCUGCACCUGAGCACACCAACUUCAUCACCGCAGUUUACUGUCAUCUGCAAAACUGGAAGGGUUGCAAGCUAGUUCCUCCUCCAGCUCACAGAUAGAGAGAUUAAAUAUUACAGGACCCAAGACUAACACCUGAGAGACUCCACUUGUAAUCAAAGUCCAGGGUAGGGCGAGUGAAUGACUCCUGUGGGUGCCUGGCAUUUGUCCAGUGUUGGCCAACACCACCAUGACAGUUGUUGUUGUGAUGAAGCACCCAGAGAUAGCUCCAGUUUCAAGUACAUUAUGUCCACACUAAGAGGGGAUCAAGACAACAGAGUGGAGAAAAAGAGAAGUGGAUUUACCUUUAAAUGACUGACAGUGGAAUCAGUUACAAAGCAGCACAUGCAUCAAAGCCCAGAGAAUAACUGCUUGAAAAUUUUGAAUUCUUCUCCAAAAGAGAUGUUUUCCAGAAAAGAAGUACAGAAAUCUCUUAACAAUUGACAUUUCUUUCAAAUAGCUCUUGGGGCAACUUGCCAUGAUUUUAAUAACUGGUUCUCCCAGACUGAACCAAGGCACCUUCAAGCCCAGCUCAAAACCUCUGAUUAGUGUUACAUUUUCUCCUUCUGUUCUGGCCAGGAUGGAGAUAACUCGCUGCAUCCUCCUGCCAGUGGCAAAUUCCAUGCUCUCUAGCAGAAAGAGCAAACAAAGAUUGUGGCAAGGGCAAGAGGGCAGGGCAGAUAACUGUAACUAGGGCAGCUGCCACACCUCAGCCUGCCUGUAACUCUGGAUCUGAGCUGCUGUGUUCCUGAGCGAUGCUGGAGGCACUGACAGUCCAUUUUCCCUCGGGCUCACUGGUACUCUGGGAUAGCUGUGGGUGGGAAACCUAAAAGAUCACUUAAAUUUUUAAUUAGGCUUGAACAGGUGUCAAUACCUUAAAAGAGGAAAAGGAUUAAAAGUUCUAGUGUAUAAGAGCCAAAGGAUAUGUUCGUUGCCAGGGUUAAACAAGAAUGUGAAGGAAGAUUUGUGCCUGGAACAGGUACUUGCAUGGAUCUGACAGUGGAGAAGAAGGAGGUUGUCACAGAGGAACUUCAUUCAGUCCCUGCCCAAACCCCAGGCUCUGCUUGUACAUAAGUGGGGCUUGUGGUAUCACAUCAUCAACGCUGGCUGGGCAGCCCAAACAAGGCCUCUGCUCAACAUCCCAGGGAGCUGCUUCAGAAGCUACCAACAGCACCAGUUUUAUUUAUUUCCAGCCAUACUUCCAAAUUCUUCCUGGAGUCUUACAGAGAGCAAGCCCUUCUCAAAAAAGCUUACAAACCAAUACCAAACAGAAAACUACUCACUUCAGCAGCUCAGCUGAAGGCCCAAGGACAGGACUGAUGAGUUCAAAGAACAGUACUGGAGAUGUUUCUCAAACUUCAAGCCUUUACCUUGGACGGUCCUAAUUUUAUUGUAUCGCUUUUGUGCUGCAUUCUGGACCCUCCUGCUGUCUGCUCCUCUGCAUCAGCUUAUCUUGUCUGUUUGAGAACCAUCAUAUUAUGUUUAAUAGAGUUUUUACUUUGGAAGGAACUACUGCUGGUAAAGAGGACUGCUGCCUGCUGAACA